Molecule: small nuclear RNA, 107 nt
Filed under: Myotis brandtii (Brandt's bat)
Lineage: Eukaryota; Metazoa; Chordata; Mammalia; Chiroptera; Vespertilionidae
Source: RNAcentral
GUGCUCGCUUCGGCAGCACAUAUACUAAAAUUGGAAUGGUACAGAGAAGAUUAGCAUGGCUCCUGCGCAAGGAUGACACACAAAUUCAUGAAGCGUUCCAUAUUUUA